Molecule: long non-coding RNA, 624 nt
Filed under: Drosophila guanche
Lineage: Eukaryota; Metazoa; Arthropoda; Insecta; Diptera; Drosophilidae
Source: RNAcentral
CCGACUCAUCCAAUAAUGCGGUGCAUUAUUGUCUUGCAAGCUCCAUAUCCACUCUGCAACAACACACUCAUGCCUUCUUCCUUCUCCAAAUUUUGAAUUUUUAACGGAUUUCAUUUUGUAAACAAACACAAAACAGUGUACCCACUUUUCCACUUUGGUCAUACUGGGCAUCAAGCGAAAUAUAUGGCACUUCCUGCUUUCGCCGCUUCGCACGAAAUAAUUGUUGCAGAUAAUCGUGUUGGCUGUGCUGCCUGCACUCUGCAUAGUUUUAGCGACAAUUUCUAACUCAAUGUUAUCUUGUGUGGCUUGCCGGAAAUUCCACGAAAUCUGUUCUUAGCAUUAGAAUGGACUGUCUUAUGGGUGUUGCUUGACCAGCUCGAUUCUUGGGCCUACGCUUGAUUGCAGCGGUUCCUCUAACAGCAAUCUUUGUUUGCCGUCUCGUGCCUGAAGCGGCGAUGGAUGUUCAAGGAUAUCAGGCAACAUAUUAUGUAUCUAAACCAGUUUGCAUCAGGCUAACAUUAACAUGCUUUCCGUGAGCUGAAGAGCAGUAGCAGCGCCUUAUCCAAUGUAUGCAUUAAAGGGAAAAGCCCAUAUGUAUGUGUGACAAAAUUAUUCCUUUUUAUU